This 21-nucleotide non-coding RNA is filed under the name Caenorhabditis elegans. Lineage: Eukaryota; Metazoa; Nematoda; Chromadorea; Rhabditida; Rhabditidae. The record is from RNAcentral.
UGAUAUAUACUGCCGUCUUCC